CAGUAGCCACGGGAAUACGAAGGGGGCUAGCGUUGCUCGGAAUGACUGGGCGUAAAGGGCGCGUAGGCGGCGGCCAAAGUCAGGCGUGAAAUUCCCGGGCUCAACCUGGGGGCUGCGUUUGAUACUUGGUUGCUUGAGUGGGGAAGAGGGUCGUGGAAUUCCCAGUGUAGAGGUGAAAUUCGUAGAUAUUGGGAAGAACACCGGUGGCGAAGGCGGCGACCUGGUCCUUUACUGACGCUGAGGCGCGAAAGCGUGGGGAGCAAACAGGAUUAGAUACCCCUGUAGUCCCUGUCUCUUAUAA
This 301-nucleotide ribosomal RNA is filed under the name uncultured bacterium. Its description in RNAcentral is "partial 16S ribosomal RNA". It matches the Rfam family "Bacterial small subunit ribosomal RNA", at positions 509 to 809 of the family's 1533-position model. The record is from RNAcentral.